Molecule: non-coding RNA, 111 nt
Organism: Acanthosepion pharaonis
Lineage: Eukaryota; Metazoa; Mollusca; Cephalopoda; Sepiida; Sepiidae
Source: the annotation of a GenBank genome assembly
CAGCCACAUCACAUUGAAACAGCAGUUCCCAUACAAUCACCAAAAUUAAGCAAUGCCGAGCCAGGUCAGUACCUAGAUGGGUGACCACUUGGGAAUACCAGGUGCUGUAAG